This 369-nucleotide transfer-messenger RNA is filed under the name Pseudomonadota bacterium. It matches the Rfam family "transfer-messenger RNA". Rfam says of the family: Bacterial tmRNA, also known as 10Sa RNA or SsrA, is named for its dual tRNA and mRNA-like properties. Lineage: Bacteria; Pseudomonadati; Pseudomonadota. The record is from RNAcentral.
GGGGGCGUACCGGUUUCGACGGGGUUCUGGAAAGCCGAAGGGCGUGGCAAGGUGCGGGUCGCCUCUAUCGAUCCAAAUGUAAGCUGCCAACAACAGCAACCACUUCAGCGAGGCCCUCGCGGCUUAGUUGAGGUCCGGGGGGCAUAGCGACCCCCCGGUGUCCGGUUGAGCGUGAUCGAACUCUUCUGGGCAUAUUUCAGAUCCGCAGCAGACCCGGGGCCGAGCACCCGCCGGGCGAGCGAAGAACAAGCAGGAGGCUCUGACGGUGAUCAAAGAUCACGACACUCGCCGAUGAGUUUUCGGCAGGCCACGUAUCUCUGAAACUAGAAGGGGCUUCGGACGCGGGUUCGACUCCCGCCGCCUCCACCA